Molecule: ribosomal RNA, 584 nt
Filed under: Flavobacterium sp. FlavoEI_GT1r2CG6_D08_60
Lineage: Bacteria; Pseudomonadati; Bacteroidota; Flavobacteriia; Flavobacteriales; Flavobacteriaceae
Description: bacterial SSU rRNA
Rfam family: Bacterial small subunit ribosomal RNA
Source: RNAcentral
GGGGUAGGGGCUUUCGGGCCUUGAGACCGGCGCACGGGUGCGUAACGCGUAUGCAAUCUGCCUUUCACAGAGGGAUAGCCCAGAGAAAUUUGGAUUAAUACCUCAUAGCAUUAUGGAAGGGCAUCCUUUUAUAAUUAAAGUCACAACGGUGAAAGAUGAGCAUGCGUCCCAUUAGCUAGUUGGCAAGGUAACGGCUUACCAAGGCUACGAUGGGUAGGGGUCCUGAGAGGGAGAUCCCCCACACUGGUACUGAGACACGGACCAGACUCCUACGGGAGGCAGCAGUGAGGAAUAUUGGACAAUGGGCGCAAGCCUGAUCCAGCCAUGCCGCGUGCAGGAUGACGGUCCUAUGGAUUGUAAACUGCUUUUGUACGAGAAGAAACACUCCUACGUGUAGGGGCUUGACGGUAUCGUAAGAAUAAGGAUCGGCUAACUCCGUGCCAGCAGCCGCGGUAAUACGGAGGAUCCAAGCGUUAUCCGGAAUCAUUGGGUUUAAAGGGUCCGUANGCGGUCUAGUAAGUCAGUGGUGAAAGCCCAUCGCUCAACGGUGGAACGGCCAUUGAUACUGCUGGACUUGAAUUAUU